This is a long non-coding RNA of Tachysurus fulvidraco (yellow catfish), 433 nucleotides long. RefSeq lists it as uncharacterized. The transcript has 2 exons. The record is from RefSeq and is a predicted model, not a curated record. NCBI's taxonomy places the organism in Eukaryota, Metazoa, Chordata, Actinopteri, Siluriformes, Bagridae.
AUUAUCUAUUAACAUCAAUGAACAUACAUAUACAUUAAACAAAUCUAAAAGAAUAUAUAUCUAAAAGAAUAAUAUGUUUAAAUUCAUUACCAGUGUGUAAUUUAUAAUUUAUGCAUGUUGAUUGUAUUAAUUAAAUAAGAUUUCAUUUGCCCUUAGGCGAGUGCUUUUGUUACAUCAGAGCCUACUCCAAGCUUAGCUGACAAAUGGUACUAUUACAGCAAGUAAUCAACAAGGGACAACAGACGACAGAUUACUAAAUAGGAGGAUGUAUUUGAGAUUUCAUUUUUCUGCCACAUUAGAAAAUUUUUGUCACUUGUGCUUGCUCUCGGCUGUAUCUGGGCUCUAACUAAUACUGGGUAACUUUGGAUUUAAUAUGAAUAAUAAUCUUUUGGAUCCAAUAAUGAUGAAUAAAACUCUACUUUUAUGGUUGGAA